RNAcentral lists this transfer RNA (67 nucleotides) under Staphylinidae sp. BMNH 1274665. RNAcentral describes it as "tRNA-Tyr". It matches the Rfam family "tRNA". From Rfam's summary of the family: Transfer RNA (tRNA) molecules are approximately 80 nucleotides in length. Lineage: Eukaryota; Metazoa; Arthropoda; Insecta; Coleoptera; Staphylinidae. The record is from RNAcentral.
GUUAAAAUGGCUGAUAAAAGUAGUAAAUUGUAAAUUUAUAUAUGAAUGUAAGAAUUCUUUUAACAAG